AAUUAUACCCUUUCCCCAAACUAAACACGCAUACACAACUAGGGUUUCUCUCAUCCUCUCAUUUUGUCCGCCUCUCAUCCUCUGCUCCCUCUCUCUCUCUCUGGCGAUUUAGGGUUUCUGCAUAUCAUUCUCAUCCGCCCCCAUUGUUCUCUCUCUCUACAUUCAUGGCGAUUUAACCUGUCUCUCCGGCGAUUCCAACAGCGGGAGUGGCGAUUUCACUCUCCACUUAUACCCUUUCACUAAAAAAAAGGACACGGGUGAUCUUCACCAGAUCUAGGGUUUCACAUUCAUUCGUUUCAAAACAUUUCAAACAUAUCGUCGCUCCCCUCUCUCUCUCUCUCUCUGGCGAUUUCACCAGAUCUUUGAAGUUUCAAUAGAUGGAUGAAGAAUCUGACCUCCUGGUUCCGAUUUCCGGCUUUUAUUGGCUUUUAUUUCAUCCCUAAUUUCUCUUCCCUUUCGUCUUGCUUCUUACAAAGAGCAAUAUCCAUCUUCAAGAGGUUACUCAUAGGCUUGCUCAGAUUUGACGGAGAAAAGGUACAACUGAGACUUUUAGAUCUGCGAUCCCCAAACCCUCAUAUGGUAAAACUUUUAGAUCUGGUAUGUUUAUAUGCAGGUUGGGGGAUUUUGAUUUCAGGUCAUUUCCGGCUGUUCUAUCUUUAUCGCAAACUUAAAGUUUUGUGGUUUGAUAAUGCGACUCUGGGUUUUUAUUGAUUUUGUUGAGAAUUGCAGUUCAAUGUCUGGACCACUCGAUUGAUUUGAGAGGCCUUAGCACAGAUUAGAGCGGUUGCAGGCAGAGCAUAUACAACAAUCUGAGUGGAUAUAACUGGGUCAAGAAAUCGAGGUUGAAGGUAGAUUUGUAAGGCGGGAUUACUGGAUCUUAAAAAGGCAAACUGGAAAUAUUAGUGUCUUUGGGGAGAUAACGAUCGGGUUGACAAAGAUCAAGAAACAGUUUUGGCUAGGGCAGUUGGAAUGAUUCUUUCUAAUAAUGAUGCUUUUUGGAAUGAGAUUAUCACAGAUCCUCAUCUAUGUAUAGUGUAUUUCGGAAAAAAGAUAUGCAUUGGGCAGCAGAGACGGACCGCUGUGGAGCUGGUCUUAGGGGCUCAGGUGAAAUAUAUAUCGGGUUCAACGCGCCACUAGAAUUAAAAAAGUAUGUACAGAUGUAAACG
RNA transcript from Helianthus annuus (common sunflower), 1166 nucleotides. RefSeq lists it as uncharacterized. The record is from RefSeq and is a predicted model, not a curated record. Lineage: Eukaryota; Viridiplantae; Streptophyta; Magnoliopsida; Asterales; Asteraceae. The transcript has 8 exons.